UACGUAGGUGGCAAGCGUUGUCCGGAUUUACUGGGCGUAAAGAGCGCGCAGGCGGUCGUUCAAGUCGCGUGUGAAAGCCCCCGGCUCAACUGGGGAGGGUCACGCGAUACUGAUCGACUGGAAGGCAGGAGAGGGUAGUGGAAUUCCCGGUGUAGUUGUGAAAUGCGUAGAUAUCGGGAGGAACACCAGUGGCGAAGGCGACUACCUGGCCUGUUCUUGACGCUGAGGCGCGAAAGCUAGGGGAGCAAACGGG
RNAcentral lists this ribosomal RNA (253 nucleotides) under uncultured bacterium. RNAcentral's name for it is "partial 16S ribosomal RNA". It matches the Rfam family "Bacterial small subunit ribosomal RNA", at positions 524 to 776 of the family's 1533-position model. The record is from RNAcentral.